CAGGACUCAGGACAAUCUCCAGCAUGGCCAGCUUCCCUCUCCUCCUCACCCUCCUCACUCACUGUGCAGGGUCCUGGGCCCAGUCUGUGCUGACUCAGCCACCCUCAGCGUCUGGGACCCCCGGGCAGAGGGUCACCAUCUCUUGUUCUGGAAGCAGCUCCAACAUCGGAAGUAAUACUGUAAACUGGUACCAGCAGCUCCCAGGAACGGCCCCCAAACUCCUCAUCUAUAGUAAUAAUCAGCGGCCCUCAGGGGUCCCUGACCGAUUCUCUGGCUCCAAGUCUGGCACCUCAGCCUCCCUGGCCAUCAGUGGGCUCCAGUCUGAGGAUGAGGCUGAUUAUUACUGUGCAGCAUGGGAUGACAGCCUGAAUGAAACUCUUCCCAAAUUAAAGCUUUCUUUGAAGUCAGCCCAAGGCUGCCCCCUCGGUCACUCUGUUCCCGCCCUCCUCUGAGGAGCUUCAAGCCAACAAGGCCACACUGGUGUGUCUCAUAAGUGACUUCUACCCGGGAGCCGUGACAGUGGCCUGGAAGGCAGAUAGCAGCCCCGUCAAGGCGGGAGUGGAGACCACCACACCCUCCAAACAAAGCAACAACAAGUACGCGGCCAGCAGCUAUCUGAGCCUGACGCCUGAGCAGUGGAAGUCCCACAGAAGCUACAGCUGCCAGGUCACGCAUGAAGGGAGCACCGUGGAGAAGACAGUGGCCCCUACAGAAUGUUCAUAGGUUCUCAACCCUCACCCCCCACCACGGGAGACUAGAGCUGCAGGAUCCCAGGGGAGGGGUCUCUCCUCCCACCCCAAGGCAUCAAGCCCUUCUCCCUGCACUCAAUAAACCCUCAAUAAAUAUUCUCAUUGUCAAUC
This 860-nucleotide long non-coding RNA is filed under the name Homo sapiens (human). Its description in RNAcentral is "long non-coding RNA NONHSAT192074.1". Lineage: Eukaryota; Metazoa; Chordata; Mammalia; Primates; Hominidae. The record is from RNAcentral.